Molecule: RNA transcript, 2461 nt
Organism: Megachile rotundata (alfalfa leafcutting bee)
Lineage: Eukaryota; Metazoa; Arthropoda; Insecta; Hymenoptera; Megachilidae
Gene: Dp
Gene name: transcription factor Dp
Source: RefSeq, a predicted model, not a curated record
GAGGAGCCACGUGACUGGGAAAGUAACCAAUCAGCUGUUUAACUUUGUCGUGCCGCCAAGCUCGUCUCUAUUCUGUACUGUGCACGCGGAAGCUAGAUUUUCGUGCGAUAUUUUUGCAUGCAGACAAGUAUUUCCUUAAAAUGCUCGUUUCGGUACGAUAAAGAAACAGCUGACUUUUACUUUCACGCGUGCAUUAGAACGUUCUUUAAUCCGUGUAUCGUCAAAUUCUGAUCUUAAAUGGUUCUAUAUCAUAGUCGCCAUUUUGGUGAUAGACCGAGCCAAGAUUAGCGAGUGUACCUAUGAUCUUUUUAUUUUCACUCGGCAUUCGGUCGAUCGUCGUGAUCGUCGGUGACGCCGGGACGGAAUUCUAACCUCGAGGAUGACGCAACAAAACAAAACGAUGAACUUUCUCAUACAUGACGCGAACGGUCACCCACAAGUAAUAAAGGUAGUGCAAAGUACAGCCAAUAAGGCAUUGGGUGGUAUUGUCAGUACAACAAAUGCAGGUGGCCUUAAGGUCUUUAAGACUCCGAGCCAAGAAUCUCAGGUUUUGUCAUCUAACGCACAAGUUCUUAAAACUAUCAGUUUGCAGAGUCCUUCAACUCCUGGCCAAAGAUUGGUUACAAUACCAUUACAGAAUACAAAGUUAGCAACAACAAAAGCUGGUGAACCUGUAUUGACCAAGACCAUUCAGUUGACAUCCGCACAAAUGGUAAAACUUAGCGAUAUAAAACAGGCAAUAGUGUCUCAGCAACAGCAACAGCAACAAUCUGGUAAUCAACAACUUGUAAAGGAUGCAAGUGGAAAAACAUAUAUCAGUCCAAUAUUGGAUCACAGUGGUUCCAGGAAAAGGCAGGAUGUUGAGGGUGGCGAUUUUGUACCAGAUAAACGAAGAAAAACAGAGAAAGUAGGCAAAGGAUUACGUCAUUUUUCAAUGAAAGUUUGUGAAAAAGUUAAAAAGAAGGGAACAACGUCGUACAACGAAGUUGCAGAUGAACUUGUUGGAGAAUUCACUAAUCCUGCUCAUAUAAAUUCUUUAACAGAUCAGCAAUAUGAUCAAAAGAACAUUAGAAGACGUGUUUACGAUGCUCUGAACGUUUUAAUGGCGAUGAAUAUCAUUUCAAAAGAGAAAAAAGAAAUUAGGUGGUUAGGUUUGCCAACUAAUUCUCUUCAGGAAUGUUUGGCACUUGAAAAAGAUAAAAAGAAAAAGAUCGAGAGAAUCAAAGCGAAAACGCAACAAUUGCACCAAUUGAUCCUUUCGCAUAUCUCCUUUAAAAACUUGGUGGAACGUAAUCGUGCCAAUGAGAGUCUGCGUGGCCCACCAAAACCAAAUUCUGCCAUACAGCUGCCAUUCCUGAUUGUGAAUACUAGCAAAAAGACUGUAAUAGAUUGCAGCAUUUCGAAUGACAAAACCGAGUACCUGUUCAAUUUUAACGAUAAGUUCGAAAUUCAUGACGAUAUUGAAGUUUUAAAACAAAUGGGUUUAGCUUUCGGUUUAGAAAAAGGCGAGUGCACUGAAGAAAAUUUACGAAAAGCUAAAUUAAUGGUUCCAAAAUCUUUGGAAAAAUAUGUGGAACAGCUGGCAUCUGGUGAUUUGGAAAAAUUCAUCCCAGUGACCAUUCCUGGACCAAGUACUUCAAUGGAAGACCUGGACACGAAGUUGGAAGGUUCUCGACCUCCUUCAUCUUCUCACACUUCACUUUCAGAGGAUGUUCUAUCGCCACCCUCGCAGUAUUAUUCCGAGGAAGAAGACGAAGAGGAAGAAAGUGAUCAGGAUGACCAAGCCGAUAGUGAUCUCGAAGUUAACUAGCACUCCGAACGAUUUUCUCGGGGCUGGACUCAGGGUACAUAUAUGUUUAUCUAAGGGAUACUCGUCACUGUUAGCAGCGUACUCGACAUGGUCGUCAUCGAUAUCGCUCUCAAGAACAUCAUUCUCGUACGCAAUCAAGAUGCGGACGAGUACCGGUAAUCGAGGAUCUCGUGAAAGUGGAGCCUCAUUACCACCGUUGAUAAAAGUCUGUUAAUGUGAAAUGAGGAUGGUCAAAAAAUGAAUUAAAUGUCGAUUGGGGCCAAGGAGAAACACAAAAAAUGCAAGAAACAAAUCGCGUAGGGAUAAAACUCAAAAAGCUUCAGAACGUCUCGUUUAAAAAAGGGGACUAUCGAUGCAUGACGAUCGACAGGAUCCAUGAUUAUGCGGCGCGACUGAAACCCGGGGUGCUAUUUUAAUUGUGCAUCAUCUUAACAGGUUUAUAUGACUAGCAUCUAUGUAUUGUAAAUUAUAAUCUUUGCAAUGAUAUCGAUAUUAAUGUGUACGAGACAUUAUGACCAGUACUCAUUUUCUUAUGGCACGUUUAUAAUUAAUAUCGCCCAAACUAAUGUACCAAGAUAAAUGGUAUUCUGGAAUGCGGGCGCACGUCUGAUUCAAUUUCGAACUAAAAAUAAUAAAUUGUAAUAAUGUUAA